Carassius carassius (crucian carp) is the source of this 915-nucleotide long non-coding RNA. RefSeq lists it as uncharacterized. The transcript is spliced from 2 exons. The record is from RefSeq and is a predicted model, not a curated record. Lineage: Eukaryota; Metazoa; Chordata; Actinopteri; Cypriniformes; Cyprinidae.
UAUACGAUUAUUAGAUUUUAUUAUAUGUUUUUUAUUUCUGAAUACAUUUUUUCUGCAGAUGUAAACAAAAACUGAUUUAAUAUUGUUCAUUACUUGAAUCUGUCAGCAGAUGCUGCUCUACUCAACAGUAUAUUCCAGACCUUCGGGAUGUUGGACCUGGUGAAGAAAGUUCUUGCCUGUCACAUAAGUAAGAUGCACCGCUGUAGGGAGCAGUACACACGCAGCAUACCCUAGAGCAACCGUGUGAUGAGCAUCGCAAACGUGCCAAAGAGCUGAAGAAGCAAAUCACAGCACCUCAACACCGUCCUGAUGACCUUGACCCCCGUGACCUCGCCUCCCACUCUCAAACGCCCCUGUCUGACCCCUUGCCGUCUCGUAAGAACAGUCAGCGGUGUCAGUAUUAUAAACACUGCCACUGAGGAGACUGUUGAGCCACAGACGGAAGCAGCUACAGAACAGAGAGAUGACAAGAAAGAGUGAAAUUGAUGUCAGUGUGUCGUAUAAUUUGUUUGUAGAUGAUGAACUCUUUUUGCAUUUUUAUGAUUCAUUUGAAAGGUUUUUGCUAAAACAGCCAUGGUGUUGUAAUGAGUGUCAGUUGUUGCAUCGCAUUUGAUUUAUUGUAAUCUAACUACAAUUUUAGUGAAAUAUAGGCUGAUAUGUUUAAAGCAAUAAUUCACCCAAAAGUUAAUCAUCAUCAUCUCCUCACCCUCAAGUUGUUCCGAACCUUUGUGUUUCUUUCUUCUGUUGUGCAUCAAAGAAGAUAUUUUGAAGAAUAUUAGUAACCAGUGAGUUUUUUUAGGUAGCCAUUUACUUCCAUAGUAUUUAAAAAAAAAUUCUUCAUAUUGUGGAAGUCAGUGGCUACUGUUAACAGUUUGGUUUACCAACAUUUAAAAAUAUAUAUUCUUUGUUUACCUG